RNAcentral lists this ribosomal RNA (471 nucleotides) under uncultured bacterium. RNAcentral describes it as "bacterial SSU rRNA". It matches the Rfam family "Bacterial small subunit ribosomal RNA", at positions 30 to 524 of the family's 1533-position model. The record is from RNAcentral.
AUUGAACGCUGGCGGAAUGCUUUACACAUGCAAGUCGAACGGUAGAGGGGGCAACCCCUUGAGAGUGGCGAACGGGUGAGUAAUAUAUCGGAACGUGCCCAGUCGUGGGGAUAACGUAGCGAAAGUUACGCUAAUACCGCAUACGAUCUAUGGAUGAAAGCGGGGGAUCGCAAGACCUCGCGCGAUUGGAGCGGCCGAUAUCAGAUUAGGUAGUUGGUGAGGUAAAGGCUCACCAAGCCGACGAUCUGUAGCUGGUCUGAGAGGACGACCAGCCACACUGGGACUGAGACACGGCCCAGACUCCUACGGGAGGCAGCAGUGGGGAAUUUUGGACAAUGGGCGAAAGCCUGAUCCAGCAAUGCCGCGUGAGUGAUGAAGGCCUUAGGGUUGUAAAGCUCUUUUACCAGGGAUGAUAAUGACAGUACCUGGAGAAUAAGCUCCGGCUAACUCCGUGCCAGCAGCCGCGGUAAA